UACGAAGGGGGCUAGCGUUGCUCGGAAUCACUGGGCGUAAAGGGUGCGUAGGCGGGUCUUUAAGUCGGGGGUGAAAUCCUGGAGCUCAACUCCAGAACUGCCUUUGAUACUGAGGAUCUUGAGUUCGGGAGAGGUGAGUGGAACUGCGAGUGUAGAGGUGAAAUUCGUAGAUAUUCGCAAGAACACCAGUGGCGAAGGCGGCUCACUGGCCCGAUACUGACGCUGAGGCACGAAAGCUAGGGGAGCAAACGGG
Molecule: ribosomal RNA, 253 nt
Filed under: uncultured bacterium
Lineage: Bacteria
Description: partial 16S ribosomal RNA
Rfam family: Bacterial small subunit ribosomal RNA
Source: RNAcentral